AGGGGAGUAGCUCAAUAGGCAGAGUGAUGGUCUCCAAAACCAUCGGUUAAGGGUUCAAAUCCCUUCUCCCCUG
This 73-nucleotide transfer RNA is filed under the name Reclinomonas americana. Its description in RNAcentral is "tRNA-Trp". It matches the Rfam family "tRNA". Rfam says of the family: Transfer RNA (tRNA) molecules are approximately 80 nucleotides in length. Their secondary structure includes four short double-helical elements and three loops (D, anti-codon, and T loops). Further hydrogen bonds mediate the characteristic L-shaped molecular structure. tRNAs have two regions of fundamental functional importance: the anti-codon, which is responsible for specific mRNA codon recognition, and the 3' end, to which the tRNAs corresponding amino acid is attached (by aminoacyl-tRNA synthetases). tRNAs cope with the degeneracy of the genetic code in two manners: having more than one tRNA (with a specific anti-codon) for a particular amino acid; and 'wobble' base-pairing, i.e. permitting non-standard base-pairing at the 3rd anti-codon position. Lineage: Eukaryota; Jakobea; Jakobida; Histionidae. The record is from RNAcentral.